CCUACGGGAGGCAGCAGUGGGGAAUAUUGCACAAUGGGGGAAACCCUGAUGCAGCAACGCCGCGUGAGUGAUGACGGCCUUCGGGUUGUAAAGCUCUGUCUUCAGGGACGAUAAGGACGGUACCUGAGGAGGAAGCCACGGCUAACGACGGGCCAGCAGCCGCGGGAAUACGUAGGUGGCGAGCGUUGGCCGGAUUUACUGGGCGUCACGGGGGCGUAGGCGGACUUUUAAGUGAGAUGGGAAAUCCUCGGGCUCCACUGGAGUGCUGCAUUUCAAACUGGAAGUCUAGAGUGCGGGAGCGGCGACUGCGCUUCCUAGUGUAGCGGUGAACUGCGUCGAGAUUAGGAAGAACACCAGUGGCGACGGCGAUUCUCUGGACUGUACCUGACGCUGAGGCUCGAAAGCGUGGGGAGCAAACAGGAUUAGAUACCCCUGUAGUC
Molecule: ribosomal RNA, 440 nt
Filed under: uncultured bacterium
Lineage: Bacteria
Description: partial 16S ribosomal RNA
Rfam family: Bacterial small subunit ribosomal RNA
Source: RNAcentral